This is a long non-coding RNA of Dama dama (fallow deer), 8022 nucleotides long. RefSeq lists it as uncharacterized. Lineage: Eukaryota; Metazoa; Chordata; Mammalia; Artiodactyla; Cervidae. The transcript has 12 exons. The record is from RefSeq and is a predicted model, not a curated record.
UUCGUGGUUGAGCGGGGUUUGUGACGGUGGUUUAGGAGCCUUCUCUUCUGCGCGGGAGGGGAGCUCUGACUCGCAGCCGGACCCCGCCUUCUCGCUGACGAGGCCUCGUUCCCCAGGUCAGGCCUGACCUGCUCAAGCCCAGAGAGUUGUAAGAAGUUGGAUGUAGAAGUUCUUCCUUGAUCAGCAGCUUCCUAUGACACAUCUGUGAUUUCCUGGUUCUACCUCAUAUCCUGUAAUCAUGGACUUGUUAAUGUGACCUUCCAAGCCCCUAACAAAUCAACUGGCCAGUCGUCUCAUUUCUCUUGGAGAUAGAUUAGUUCCUCUGGAUUUGCUGCUGUACGUUACUUCGGGAUUGCUCGUGCACUUCGUGUUCUUCGCCUCCAUCUUCAGCAUGUGUUUCACCUCUCCUUUGGUUCAUGGAAUGACUCCUCAGUUUAUGCCCCUGCCUCCCCCAGCAAAACGAUUAGUGCUGUUUGUCGCUGAUGGCCUGCGAGCACGUAAACUUUAUGAAUUAGAUGAAGAUGGAAAUUCUAGGGCACCAUUUGUUAGGCAAAGAUGAGCUUCUCUGACAGCGCCUGUUUCUCCCCGCGGUGUUCUGUGGAGGGCCAAGGGCUCCCCGGUGAUGUGCGAUGUGUUGUCUGCCAUUCUAGCUGCUUCUGAAGCCUUUUUUGGAAUGUCGUAAUGAACGAAGGCAGCUGGGGCAUCUCUCACACGUGUGUGCCGACCGAGUCUCGGCCAGGGCACGUGGCCAUGACUGCAGGGUUUUAUGAAGAUGUCAGCGCAGUUGCCAAAGGUGACCUUGGAAACCAUAUUUUUGCACACACUUAACGAUGCAUCCAGUGAGGAUUUUGGUGCCCACGAUGUAACAAAACUGGACACGUGGGUUUUUGAUCAUGUGAAGGCUCCCGUGGAGCCGGUCAUCCUUUAGAGACUUGUACUCCUUUUAUCGCUCGGGGAGCUGGAAUCAGGCUUCCCCAAAAAGUGUCAGCUCAGAAAUUUGAUGACUCAUAUUUGCAAGAAUGAAAUUUGGAGAACUGGAAGAGACAAGAUAAUAAUCAGGCUGAUGUUGCACCGUUGAUAGCAGCUCUUAUUGGAGUUCCCUACCCUCUUAAUUCAGUGGGAAUCAUUCCUGUGGACAUGCUUAAUACCUCUGAUCUCUUCAAAGCAGGGAGCAUGUUUACAAAUGCAGUACAGAUUCUUGAACAGUUCAAGGUAAAAAUGACUCAGAAAAAGGAAGCUACUUUAUCAUUUUUGUUUACACCAUUUAAUGAGGUAUUGUCAAGACAAACUAUUAAAUGAACCACUGACCAUCCACCCUUGCCAGGCAACAGAAAAGAGAAAACACUUGCAGGAGUCAUCUUACAACAGGAGGUCCUGGUAAGGAACAAGGAACUAACAAACUACCACCAACCAGGAUUCUGGAGAGGUCAAAAAGAGAUGGGAGACUCCAGUCCAGAGGUCCUACCAGCUUCUCAGGAUCCUCCUUGCUGGAAUCCAUCUCAGCUGAGUGAUGCGUGUGCCCCCAGGAAGGAUCCCAAUUCAUAAUGACUGGCAAGAGACAAACCAGAAACUAACCCAAUGACCAUAAAACCUGAGACUGUGAUCCACGUGGCAGAGAAGUUCUCUCCGUUUCCCUCACCCUCCUGCCCUCCGCCCUGGCAGCCCUUCCCAAUAAAGUCUCUCGCUUGGACAGCACUCCUCUCCUCGGACAAUUCACUUCCAAGUGUCAGACAGGAACCCACUCUCAAGCCCUGGAAGGGAUCCCCCUUCCUUCAUCAAAACCACAAUCCAGGAGAAAACAUCUUCAAAAUGCUAUCUUGUAGAGAAGGAAAUGGCACCCCCUCCAGUAUUCUGGCCUCAGAAAUCCCAGGGACAGAGGAGCUUGGUGGGCUACAGUCCCACAGCAGGGCAUUUCUGAGGGGAGGAAACAAUCCCAGGGAAGUUGAGAUGCUCACCAAAGGCCCCAGAGCUUUUGAUGGCACAGCUAGAACUAUAGCUGAGGACUCCCAGCUGCCAGGCCUCUUGAUGCUGGCCUCUCUCACCAGGUACAUGUGUGGAGAACUAGAAUCAAAAAUAUGCCUGAGUGCUUCCCUAGUGGCUCCGUGGUAAAGAAUCUGCCUGCCAGUGCUGGAGAUGCAGGUGUGAUCCCUGGGAUGGGAAGAUCCCACAUGCUAUGGAGCCCGUGUGCCACAACUGCAGAGCCUGUGCGCCAGAGCCUGGAAGCCACAACGCCGAGCUGACACACUGCAACUACUGAAGCCCGUGAGCCUGUGCCCCACAGUGUGAGGAGCCACUGCAGUGAGAAGCCCGCACACCACUGGUUAUGGCCCACGCUCACCCAAACUAGGGAAAAGCCCACACACGAAGACCAACACAGCCAAAAAUAAAUACAAUCGUUUUCCUAAAAAAUGCAUAUCUGGCAAAGAAUCUGCACUCAAAUUGUCCAAGAACGCUAGAGCAAACAAGUCCAUUCAUAACUGGUAAAGAUUGAAAUAGACACCUGGCCACGGAGGGUAUACUGAUAGUAAACUCUCCUACAGAAACAUACUCAAGAUACUGGUGGAACGCAUGUACAGCCCCCUUUGGAAGACAGUCUGACAGAUUUUUCAGUAACCACAUGGGACAAGCACUGAAUUCUAUACCUGACAAGUGGUGGAAGCCAGGUAUCUUACCAUUGGAAUGGGAAGUUACGGAUAAACAAAAGGAAAGGUUACAAGAUCCAUGGAGACAUCAUCACAAAUUACCUUCAACUGAAUAUGUAAGCUGGAAUACAUGUAUAUAUUUCCAAAUAUUGUCAGCUGAGCAUAUUUAGCUCCUACAUGUAUGUUUUAAAUAUCAUUCUCUAAUGAAAAGGAACAGGAAAUGUCCCUGGUGGUCCAGUGGUAAAGGAUCUGCCUACCAAUGCAGGGAACACAGGUUCAAUCCCUGGUCCUAGAAGAUUCCACAUGCCCAGGGGCAACUAAGCCCCCGUACAACUAUUGAAGUACUUGCAUGCUCCAGAGCCCAAGUUCUGCAACCAGAGAAAGCGCUGCAAUGAGAAGCCAUGGCAAGGCAACUAGAGGGUAGCCUCUGCUCACUACAACUAGGCAUCUAGCUACAAAGACCCAGCAUCAUCAAAAAUAAUUCAGUGUUUAAAAAAAAAGGACAGAAAUUCUUUGAAUAAAUGACUGAGACUAGGGGCGAGACAGUAAAUAUAUAAGCCAGGAUAAUCUUAAAGUAUGAGAAAGUAAAGAAAGUAAAGACAACUGUCAAGCUGUCCAAACUGAUAAAAAUGAAUGAUUACACAGUUUUAUCUGUAUACACUAGCAAAUAAUAAUCUGAAAAGGAAUUUAAAAAAAAAAAUUCCCUUUUGAUAAUGUCAACAUUAAUAAAAUACUUUGCCACGGAUGUAAUGAGGAUGACAAGACUGGCACACUGGAAAUUAUACAUGAUUGCUGAAAAAUAUCCUGAAUACAUGUACAGAUAUUCCAUAGCGAUGGAAAGACUUAAGAUGGCAAUACCUUGGAAUGCAUCUUCAAUCUGAAAUGAAGAUUCAAUAUGAAUUACAAAAGACUGAAAGGUCGUUGUUGAACCACAAAAGGCACCAGGAUUCUUGGCCUCCAGAGGAGAAGAAUUCAAUCCUGGCCAGUUGAUGCAGCUUGAUUGCUCAGAGCUUUUGUGUUGCUUUGAUUUGCCUGUGAGUGUGGGAGCCCUACCUGGGCACAGCGCCUUAGGGGCCAUUGCCACUGAAUCAUGCCCUCCAUGCAAGCGCAUUCCAGCUGUAUGACACUCAGCACGCAGGAGACUGGGAAAGCUAUCUUCCUUGGAGGAAGGACAGGCAUCCACAGAGAGUGUGUUUUCAGGCCUCUAUUUGCAGCAAGUGUUUUGCUUCUCAGAUGUCAGACCUGCAGGCCUGCCCCGAGGACCUCAAUUCCAGAGUCAGGGCCGUGUGUCUCCCUGCACAUUCCGAGCCUUGCAAACACAUUCCUGGGUCAGAGCGAUGCUGCCCAUGAGGAAGAAGGCUGCAGGAGUGUGUCUGAGGGGGCCAGGUGCCAUGCUAGGGUCACCUGGUCGAGGGCACCUUGCACAUCCAUUGGGCCCCAGGCGAGCAGUUAUGGACUCGCCCCUUGCUUGAGAUAUCCCAAAGCAAGGAGCAAUGCUAUCUGUAUCAGAAGGAGGAAAACAGCAAUGGGAUGGAUUUUCAAGCAGUUGCUAGGUCACACUGUGUUAGGGCUCCCCAGGAGACAUGUGAGAAUUUUGGCCCCUAGGCCCGGUAUCCAGGGGUGUGCACAGGGUGUUUUCCCCGCAGGACCCAAGAAUGUUCAGACAGACCUAGGCUCAAUAGCUGUUGCUAGGCUGUACUGCUUCAGGCACACCGAGAGAAGCAGGCACACUGUGGCCCCGAGGUCCGGUAUGCCACAUACGGGGUGUGUCCCCGAAGGAGCCAAGAAUUUUCCUGACAGUCCUAGGCUCCCUAGAGCUCUCAGGUCUGCUCAGAGGACCGAAGUUCCAGAGGCAGGGUCGUGUAUCUCCCCUUCCCCUUGCGAUCCUUGCAAAGACAUUCCAAGCUGAUAGUGGUACUGCCCAUGAAGAAGCAAGCAGUGGGAGUAUGUUUGACAUGACUGGGUGCCUUGAUGGGCUCAGCUCCUCAAGGGGCCUUUCCUCUCAGAGUAGGCCCCAUGUCCGCUUGGGGAGGGGGUUGGGCCCUCUUCCCUCCACACUGCCAAAGGGUGGAGCAAAGCUAGCUGUCAGAGGUAAGAAAGGAGCAAUUGGAUGGAUUUUCAAGCUCUCGCUAGGCUGUACUGCUUCAAGGCCCACUCGAGCAAAACAGGCGCCCUGUGGCCCCUAGGUCGGGUAUGCAGGUUCACACACAGGGUGUAUUCCCAUCAAAGCCAAGAAUUUUCUGACAGACCUAGGCUCACUAGAGUUGUCCUACAGAGCAAAGGGGACGGAAGAGAUGUGUGGAGGUGGGUCUGCCUUUCCCUGUGAGUGUGGGGCUACUCCCUAUGGCCCCAAGUUCAGGGAUAACUGCCACUAAGAAAGGAACUCCAAGAAGCGCUUUUCCAGGAGGCUGGGACAGGGAGUUUGCAGGUUGCAGGGGAAGGGAGCCUUCUUCGGGGAAGAAGAGGCAGCCACCCAGCGUGUGUUUGCAAGCCUCUUUGGAAGGCACAGUUUCACUGAUAGAAUUGAAUUCCAGUUCUGCUCAGAGGACCAAAGUUUCAGAGGCAGGGCCAUAUAUCUCCCCUUCCCUUUGCAAUCCUUGCAAAGACAUUCCUAGCUGAUAGUGAUACUGCCCAUGAGGAAGUAAGCAGCAGAAGUGUGUCUGACAUGAUUGGGUGCCUUCCUGGGCUCAGCUCCUCAAGGGGCCUUUCCACUCAAAGUAGGCCCAUUGCCUACUUGGGGAGAGGGUAUGGAGGGCUUGCUUCUAAAUGGUGAAAAGGUGGAGCAAAACUAGCUUUGUCAGAGGUAUGUAAAGUGCAAUUUAAUGGAUUUUCAAGCUGUUGCCAGGCAACACCGCUUCAGGGUCCCCUCUCCCAGAAGGAAACAGGCGCCCUGUGGCCCCUAGGUCUGGUAUGCAGAUUCACACACAGGAUGUGUCCUCACAGGAGCCAAGAGUUUUCCUAACAGGCCUAGGCUUACUAGAGCUCUACUAUAGAGCAAAGGGGAUGGAACAGACGUGUGGAUGUGACUCUGCCUUUACCUUUGACUGUGAGGCCCCUCCAUAAGGCCCCGAAAUUGCCCUCGCCCUUGCCCUAACCCUAACCCCAACAUGACACCCUAACCCUAACCAACACCGUAACCCUAUCCCAGACCCCCUAACCCUAACCUGACACCUUCACCCCUCAGCCCUCACCCUCACCCACACCCCUAACUUCUAACCCCUAAGCCACAAGGUAACCCACACCCUAAUCCACACCCUUAACCUAACCCACACCCUCCCCCACACCCUACUCACACCCUCAACCCUAGACUUAACCUGCAUCAUCUUCCAUUUCGGCACUUCUCAUGCAUCACAAAAGACAAGGGAGUCAUAUUUCAAACGUGGAUCCAAGACCCAUUAACCGCAUAGCAGGAAUAUAAACACUGUGAACACAUCAUUUAAAUCACUUGCACCACCAAAUACCUCUCCACCACAUAUCCUAUCAAUAACAGUGGAACUCAUGUAUGUCAUACAUAUUGUAACAUAGCAAUCUAAUACCCAACAGUAAUCUGGGUAAUUAUAUACACAAGAUAUAUUUAAACCAAAAAUAUUUAAACAAAUUCCAGUUUUUAUGAUGUUUUCAAUCCUCGCAAAAGUAGGAUUAACAGCACGUUUUACCACUAGGAUCCAAAGCAUUGAGCAAAAUUGCCAAGGUCCAGCCCUGGCAGGACCAGGAAUACCCAAGGGAUGAGUGGGGUCGGCGAGGAAGAAGACAGACAGACACACACACACAGACGUUGCAUAGAAGAGGUAGCUUUUUUUUUUUUUAGGAUAGCUCAGUUUUUAUAGAAUGAAUGUUACCUACCCCUUAAGUCACCACAUAUUACAUCAGAUAUUGGUUUGUGCUUCUGUCAAUAUUUUUUUCCCCAUGUUUUUCCCCUAAGCAUUCGUCUAGAACGUUUCCGAUUACAGGGUUUAUACUUAAAUGUCCCGUACAUAGUCUUCUUGCCUCAAUGGCCUAACAUUUUCACUCUAACAAAAACAAUGUUUUACAAAUCUCAGGUAUAGUGUAAAUUCUUUAGACAAUAAAACAAUACAUGGGAAGGGUUACAGUAACAUGUUUGACAUUUCUGAAAAUAGUACCAUGAGGAAAACCUGAUAUUUUUCUUUACCUGAAACCACAAAAUCUCAUUUUACAACGAUUAACUAUUAAACAGCAAAAACACCUCUAAAGCAGCAAAACACCUCUAUUAAUAGUAAGAUAAUGGCAGUAAAGCUGGUUAAUAUAAAUCUUCUAUUAAAAUCCUAUAUACCCCAUUUUCUAAUUUUACAAAAAUACCCAUAAUAUCCCAUGUUGUUUAAAGAAAGGGAAGCAAUGAACAAAUAGCAGCAAGGAAAUAGCAAUAGUGAAAACCCUUUCAACCAAGGAGCAAGUAAACUAAAGCAGUAUAUCUACUUCUAAAUCUAAAUACCUCUACUCUUUUCUAUUCUAGAAUGUUAUAAUCUUUUAGGCAAGCAGCCAAACUAUACCUGUGGCCCUUUCUUUUAUGACUUGAUGUUUAUGGUCGUGUCCUGAGCCAGAGCAAUCUUAAGCAUUUCCAAAAAGGCUUGGACUUUUCCAGCGAGGCCUUAUUACUAUAUAUUAUCAUUUCCAAAAAUUAAUAGAAAGCCCAACAACAGUAAGACAGAAGGAAGAAAGAGACAUACCGGGCCCCUGGGACAACCUCGAGGGGAAGAGCUGCCUUGCAGAUUCCUUUCUCAUCCCGUGACCUUGUCCCCGGGACAACCUCGAGGGGAAGAGCUGCCUUGCAGGUUCCUUUCUCGUCCCGCUGGCUCCAGAGGGGACAUAUCGGGCCCCCGGGGCAGCCCCAUGUGAGGAAGAGCUGCCUUGCAGGUUCCUGUCUCGUCCCAUGACCUUGUCAUGGACUGGGUGCAUCCCGGCGGCUCCCAACACAAAAUGACAGUACAAAUGUCAUACUCAUCAUUGACAAUGAAAAUCUUAAUUAUGACCGUCAGAAAAAAGGUCAGGAUGGUUGCUCUAACAGAUUUUUCAGUGUUCCAGUACAAGUUCCACCCAAAUCCAUAAAGAAAGACAUACGCAUAGGAAACUACAAAUUGAAAGCAAGUCUAUUCAGAUAAAUAUUGGACAUCAUCUGUAUUAAUGUUUAAGGCAUAAACAACUUCAGACAUUCUUCAAAUUCACAGAAUGACAAUAAGAAAGUAUGGCUACCCAGAAUCCAUUCAGUUUUAUAAACUACCAAUGAAGAACCUCACAAGGCAUUUAAAAACAGAUGAAAAAAAAAAAAGAUGACCAUUUCAAAUGUCAUUUUCAGUAUUUAAUAGCUUUGAUCUAUGAACAAGACUGUAAGACAGAAAAUUAAACAAGUAUGACCAAAAUAAAU